ACUUAGAAGUUCAUCUGUUUUGUACACAGGCAGCAAGGAUUGGACACGGAUGUCUAAUCCAGUGACAAUCGAGCCCGGAUGGCUCGUUGGCACGUUUGCGUCACACAUCAAUACCUUUUCCAAAACAGACGCAACUUCUUAGUUCCGGA
RNAcentral lists this non-coding RNA (149 nucleotides) under human gut metagenome. The record is from RNAcentral.